GUGCUCACUUCAGCAGCACAUAUACUAAAAUUGGAACAAUACAGAGAUUAGCAUGGUGCCUGCGCAAGGAUGACACACAAACUGUGAAGUGUUCCAUAUUUUU
Molecule: small nuclear RNA, 103 nt
Organism: Balaenoptera acutorostrata (minke whale)
Lineage: Eukaryota; Metazoa; Chordata; Mammalia; Artiodactyla; Balaenopteridae
Source: RefSeq, a predicted model, not a curated record